UUGACGGGACCGCACAAGCGGUGGAUGAUGUGGUUUAAUUCGAUGCAACGCGAAAACCUUACCACCUUUGACAUGGCAGGAAUCCUAAAGAGAUUUGGGAGUGCUCGAAAGAGAACCUGCACACAGGUGCUGCAUGGCUGUCGUCAGCUCGUGUCGUGAGAUGUUGGGUUAAGUCCCGCAACGAGCGCAACCCUUGCCAUUAGUUGCUACGAAAGGGCACUCUAAUGGGACUGCCGGUGACAAACCGGAGGAAGGUGGGGAUGACGUCAAGUCCUCAUGGCCCUUAUAGGUGGGGCUACACACGUCAUACAAUGGUUGGUACAACGAGUUGCGAGUCGGUGACGGCGAGCUAAUCUCUUAAAGCCAAUCUCAGUUCGGAUUGUAGGCUGCAACUCGCCUACAUGAAGUCGGAAUCGCUAGUAAUCGCGGAUCAGCACGCCGCGGUGAAUACGUUCCCGGGCCUU
This 464-nucleotide ribosomal RNA is filed under the name uncultured Allobrachymonas sp. RNAcentral's name for it is "bacterial SSU rRNA". It matches the Rfam family "Bacterial small subunit ribosomal RNA", at positions 917 to 1381 of the family's 1533-position model. The record is from RNAcentral. Lineage: Bacteria; Pseudomonadati; Pseudomonadota; Betaproteobacteria; Burkholderiales; Comamonadaceae.